GCCCAGCUAGCUCAGUUGGUAGAGCAUGAGACUCUUAAUCUCAGGGUUAUGGGUUUGUGCUCCACAAUGGGCA
Molecule: transfer RNA, 73 nt
Filed under: Cricetulus griseus (Chinese hamster)
Lineage: Eukaryota; Metazoa; Chordata; Mammalia; Rodentia; Cricetidae
Rfam family: tRNA
About the family: Transfer RNA (tRNA) molecules are approximately 80 nucleotides in length. Their secondary structure includes four short double-helical elements and three loops (D, anti-codon, and T loops).
Source: Rfam by way of RNAcentral